AUUGAACGCUGGCGGCAGGCCUAACACAUGCAAGUCGAGCGGAUGAAGGGAGCUUGCUCCUGGAUUCAGCGGCGGACGGGUGAGUAAUGCCUAGGAAUCUGCCUGGUAGUGGGGGAUAACGUCCGGAAACGGGCGCUAAUACCGCAUACGUCCUGAGGGAGAAAGUGGGGGAUCUUCGGACCUCACGCUAUCAGAUGAGCCUAGGUCGGAUUAGCUAGUUGGUGGGGUAAAGGCCUACCAAGGCGACGAUCCGUAACUGGUCUGAGAGGAUGAUCAGUCACACUGGAACUGAGACACGGUCCAGACUGCUACGGGAGGCAGCAGUGGGGAAUAUUGGACAAUGGGCGAAAGCCUGAUCCAGCAAUGCCGCGUGUGUGAAGAAGGUCUUCGGAUUGUAAAGCACUUUAAGUUGGAAGGAAGGGCAGUAAGUUAAUACCUUGCUGUUUUGACGUUACCAACAGAAUAAGCACCGGCUAACUUCGUG
Molecule: ribosomal RNA, 484 nt
Filed under: uncultured bacterium
Lineage: Bacteria
Description: partial 16S ribosomal RNA
Rfam family: Bacterial small subunit ribosomal RNA
Source: RNAcentral